GAUGAAGAACGUAGCGAAAUGCGAUAGGUAAUGUGAAUUGCAGAAUUCAGUGAAUCAUCGAAUCUUUGAACGCACAUUGCGCCCUUUGGUAUUCCUUAGGGCAUGCCUGUUCGAGCGUCACUACACACCUUAUCACAAUAUUUGUGGUCUUGGCAGGAGUGAAUUGCUGGUCUAUGGAAGUAUUCCAGCAGUACACAAUGCUAAAAAAUAUGGGAAGGUUACCAGAUAUGAACAACAGACUUUGUAAAUGGUUGUAGGACCUAGAUCAGUCACAAGUCAUGUCUGGUCCCUUACCUUAAGGACCCCCAUACUAGAUGAACUAUAGGUUGACCUCGGAUCAGGUAGGAAUACCCGCUGAACUUAAGCAUAUCAUAAGCGGAGGA
RNAcentral lists this unclassified non-coding RNA (383 nucleotides) under soil metagenome. RNAcentral describes it as "partial contains 5.8S ribosomal RNA, internal transcribed spacer 2, and large subunit ribosomal RNA". The stretch from base 1 to 120 matches the Rfam family "5.8S ribosomal RNA", at positions 35 to 154 of the family's 154-position model. The record is from RNAcentral.